Long non-coding RNA from Cervus elaphus (red deer), 793 nucleotides. RefSeq lists it as uncharacterized. The transcript is spliced from 3 exons. NCBI's taxonomy places the organism in Eukaryota, Metazoa, Chordata, Mammalia, Artiodactyla, Cervidae. The record is from RefSeq and is a predicted model, not a curated record.
CCUAGGUCCCUGCAUCUCCUGCAAUUCUUUUCUGGGAAGAGCUUGGACCGUUUUGAUUUGUGGGAAGACUCUCACAGGGAAUGGAGUGAGGAUGCUCCCAAGUACAGACUUGGAGGUAUUUCACGGCUUCCUCAAGGAUACAUAUGGGCUCCUAGCUGGACGCUCAUCACAGUUCUGCUUCCUCCAGGUGUUUAUGAGAGUCACAUCUGUCCACGUCCCCAGCCUACUUUUCCUCCUCCUCGCCCUUUCCUUUCUGUUUUGGACCAGACUAGUCCUCACUCUGAGUCUGUGAAUGGCCUGUGGGGGUCCUACAGAUGACGGGAGAAAGGGCACCUAGGAAAGCACAGUGACCGAGCCGUCGUCACACAGGUGAAGACUGGCAGAGCCAGAAUCAGAGCCAAGCUUUCUUUUCGGCUGUAAACGUCUGUGGAGCUCUGGAGGAGCAUGACGGCAAUGAAGCCUGGGCACACUCGUGAUUCCCCCUUCAUCCUCCAGUACACUCACCUGCCUCCCCGCUCCAGAUGGCAGCAAGAGUCUUGGAGGCCUGGCAUUGCACCCUGGGGACUACUCUGACUUUCUCCUGGGGCCCACGCAGCCAUUCCCCAUCUGGUGGUCUAGAAUUAAAGCCACGGACGAGAGAGGAGACCGGAGCAACUUUGACUUCGUGGUGACCUCCACAAACCUCCUGUUCACAUGUCUGCAGUGCCCCAGGUUUGCAACGACACGCUUCACUCCUCCAGAAGUUUCAUUCCUGUGGUGCCAAGGCUGGGAGACUUUAGCAAGCCAGGCUGUU